GAAUAUUGGGCAAUGGACGAGAGUCUGACCCAGCCAUGCCGCGUGCAGGAAGAAGGCCUUCUGGGUUGUAAACUGCUUUUAUCAGGGAAGAAAACGCUCCUGCGGGAGUAACUGACGGUACCUGAUGAAUCAGCACCGGCUAACUCCGGUCCAGCAGCCGCGGUAAUACGGAGGGUGCAAGCGUUGUCCGGAUUUAUUGGGUUUAAAGGGUGCGUAGGCGGCCUUUUAAGUCAGUGGUGAAAGCCAACAGCUCAACUGUUGAACUGCCAUUGAUACUGAAAGGCUUGAGUACAGACGAGGUAGGCGGAAUUGAAGAUGUAGCGGUGAAAUGCAUAGAUAUCUUCAAGAACACCGAUUGCGUAGGCAGCUUACUAGGCUGUAACUGACGCUGAGGCACGAAAGCGUGGGGAGCGAACAGG
RNAcentral lists this ribosomal RNA (419 nucleotides) under uncultured bacterium. Its description in RNAcentral is "bacterial SSU rRNA". It matches the Rfam family "Bacterial small subunit ribosomal RNA", at positions 359 to 776 of the family's 1533-position model. The record is from RNAcentral.